RNAcentral lists this ribosomal RNA (847 nucleotides) under Polypedates leucomystax (Java whipping frog). RNAcentral describes it as "partial large subunit ribosomal RNA". It matches the Rfam family "Bacterial large subunit ribosomal RNA", at positions 1505 to 2603 of the family's 2925-position model. The record is from RNAcentral. Lineage: Eukaryota; Metazoa; Chordata; Amphibia; Anura; Rhacophoridae.
CCCAAAAUACCAUUAAUUUUUAUGAACCCCUAAUUUAUAAUGAAUGACUCCAUAUUUAUAUGGAAGACACCAUGCUAGGAUUAGUAACAAGAAUUUAUAAUUCUCCAAAAUGCAAAUAUAAACCAACAUGGAUAGACCAUUGGUAGUUACCGAACCUAAAUUCAAUGCAAUAACAUCCACAAGAAAACUCUGCAGUACUCACUCGUUAACCUAACACCAGCGCAUUACAGGAAAGAUUUAAAAAAAGAGAAGGAAUUCGGCAAAUGACGGCCCCGCCUGUUUACCAAAAACAUCGCCUCUUGACUUAUAAUAAGAGGUCCAGCCUGCCCAGUGAAUUUUAAACGGCCGCGGUAUCCUAACCGCGCGAAGGUAGCAUAAUCACUUGUUCUUUAAAUGGGGACUUGUAUCAACGGCAUCACGAGGGUUUUACUGUCUCCUCUUUUUGAUCAGUGAAAUUGAUCUUCCCGUGAAGAAGCGGGAAUAUUUUUAUAAGACGAGAAGACCCCAUGGAGCUUUAAACCAAAUAACAACUUAACCACUUAUCCCAUAAUAAAUUUAAGCCCUGUUAUAAGGUUUUUGGUUGGGGUGACCGCGGAGUAAAGCACAUCCUCCACGACGGAAAGAACAGAAUCUUUAUUUAAGAACCACACUUCUAGAAAUUAGUAUACUAACGUUUACUGACCCGACAAUCGAUCAACGGACCAAGUUACCCUGGGGAUAACAGCGCAAUCUACUUCAAGAGCUCAUAUCGACAAGUAGGCUUACGACCUCGAUGUUGGAUCAGGGUAUCCCGGUGGUGCAGCCGCUACCGAAGGUUCGUUUGUUCAACGAUUAAAACCCUACGUGA